RNAcentral lists this long non-coding RNA (907 nucleotides) under Struthio camelus australis. RNAcentral describes it as "lncRNA (ENSSCUG00000015397.1)". Lineage: Eukaryota; Metazoa; Chordata; Aves; Struthioniformes; Struthionidae. The record is from RNAcentral.
AGCAAACUUAAAUUGCAUUGCGUGCGCUGUUACGACGCUUGUUCUGAGGUCUUUAUUCAUGUACUUGUUACCCAGCUGAGUAGUUUCUCUGAAUUUAAUCAAUUUGCCUGCGCAAGAACCUACGUUUUGCAGAAUCAAACCCCAGAUUUGUGUUGCGGGCUUUAGAAAGCGUAACGUUGCUGUAUAUGCUGCACGACAGCUGUCAUUUCUACAGUAAUAGUAUAACCUAUUGAGAGCUGCGACAUAAACACUGUCACAGUGGAUGCGGAUGCGUUCGCGACAAAGAAUUGCAGCGUUCAGCGCCGGAGGGUUUGGCGCUGCGUCUGAGCAGCCGUUCUCUAACGCUCCCAUUAGCGUCUCCCACGCUCACGUUUACCUCGUUUACUCGCAUCCCGAAAUGUCCAGAGCAGUGCGCCUCCCCGGCAAUCUUUGCUGAGCGUGCUCUUCCCGGGUUGGAAGCUAUGGGCUUGGCCGUGCCUGAGAACCUGAGCAGACCCCAGACGAGCAUGCUAAAGGGCUCCUCACGAUCCUCAGUUUGCUGUCUGCAGAAGGGCUCGCCCCGGGCUGUGUUGGGGUACUUAAUUCACUUUUCGUCUUGUGCGUGAAAACGGCUCCAAGAGAUUCUCCUCCUGCGGCAAGAGAUCUGGAAAGGUCUGAAAGUUUUCAGAGACUCAGCAGUGAAGGUCAUAAGAGGGACUGGAGUUUUGGCCCAUGCAUCUGCUCACUGAAACUCGGUCAUCUCAUAUCGAGGACAACAAACCAGCACCAGUCUGCAAGAGCACGGCAACGCAGAACCCAGAAAGAUCGUUUUUUAUUAUAUGAGCAGAAGCUUUUGGCUGCUCGGGAGUUCUCCUCUCUGUUGCAUGUGAAACUGCUGCAAAGGGAAUUAAUCACUGAGACAGCGUGA